RNAcentral lists this ribosomal RNA (288 nucleotides) under Olea europaea subsp. europaea. RNAcentral describes it as "LSU_rRNA_bacteria". The record is from RNAcentral. Lineage: Eukaryota; Viridiplantae; Streptophyta; Magnoliopsida; Lamiales; Oleaceae.
AACCCGGCAAAGGACUCCUAAACCUUGGAGGAAAUGGUGCUCUCCUAUCUUUUGAUUAGAAAAGCAGCAUAUACCAAGCGUAGCAGUUGUUUAUUAAUAACACAUGACUCAGCUAAGUAGUAACACAAUGUAUAGUAUAUAGACUCUUUAACAUGUGCCCGAAAGUCAGAAGGAGAAGUGUUGGUUGCUUUGAAUGAAAACUUUAGUAAACGAGUAAAUUUAAUUAUUUUAAGGUAGCAAAAUUCCAACUCCCAAAAUAGUGAUUUGUGAACGGCAUGCAAAGCUCAA